CAAUCGCGGGCACCAAUGGCGAAAGCCGGUGCGUGAGGAAAGUCCGGGCUCCACAGGACAGGGUGCCGGCUAACGGCCGGUGAAGGCGACUUUAAGGAAAGUGCAACAGAAAAGAAAACCGCCUAUUCUUCGGAAUGGGUAAGGAUGAAAAGGCGAGGUAAGAGCUCACCGGCGGUAUGGAGACAUAUCGGCCUUGUAAACCCCACUCGGAGCAACGUCGUGGAAAGGCAUCAACCGUGGUCCGCGGGCCUUGAGGGGACGGCUUAAGACGGCGGGCAACCGUCGUAUUAGAUAGAUGAUUGUCAACUACAGAACCCGGCUUACCGGUCUGGUC
This 334-nucleotide RNase P RNA is filed under the name uncultured Saccharofermentans sp. Its description in RNAcentral is "Bacterial RNase P class A". It matches the Rfam family "Bacterial RNase P class A". Rfam says of the family: Ribonuclease P (RNase P) is a ubiquitous endoribonuclease, found in archaea, bacteria and eukarya as well as chloroplasts and mitochondria. Its best characterised activity is the generation of mature 5'-ends of tRNAs by cleaving the 5'-leader elements of precursor-tRNAs. The record is from RNAcentral. Lineage: Bacteria; Bacillati; Bacillota; Clostridia; Eubacteriales; Oscillospiraceae.